This 204-nucleotide long non-coding RNA is filed under the name Nicotiana benthamiana. RNAcentral's name for it is "long non-coding RNA (NBEN_LNC022701)". Lineage: Eukaryota; Viridiplantae; Streptophyta; Magnoliopsida; Solanales; Solanaceae. The record is from RNAcentral.
GACAACACAGUGAAUUUCUUGCGGAGAAAGCUUUAUUUCAGUAACGUUGAUACUCACUUCAUUCCAUAACACUAGUAACCCACCUACGAGACCAUUGGCCGGCACUUGUGACAUUUAGUAAAAUUGAAGUCCUCGCGAAGCCUAGUGUGAUCCUGCAUGUGAGUUUGUAGUAAAAUGGCUAAUACUGGCCUGUGGUUAUCUAAG